UUUCCUCCUCGACUUUCUUCUCCCCGCUUUCGCCUUCUUGUCGAAACCCUCGAGGCCGAGCUAGGGCUCAACAGGUGCCGCCGAUCUUCCCCAGGUUUCUAUAAGGGCAUCAACUUCGGUACUAUUAUUUUCUUAUUUGAGGGAUAAGCAUUAUGCAGCAUACAAUGAUGAUAUGAGUUGCUGGAUGGUGUCUUCUACACCUCACUUCGGUGCUUGCUUUAAAGAUCUUCAAGAAGCCUUCUGUUCUUCUCUGAAGUGUUGGUGCAAAAAUUCGCUUGCGUCGGAGAAGCUGAAGUCGGGGAAGUCACGAUCGCCGCAGGGACCUGCAAGGAAAGUCUAAACCGGAGGUGGGGUUGCUCCGGCAAGACCC
Non-coding RNA from Elaeis guineensis (African oil palm), 370 nucleotides. Lineage: Eukaryota; Viridiplantae; Streptophyta; Magnoliopsida; Arecales; Arecaceae. The record is from RefSeq and is a predicted model, not a curated record.